GGCACUAUAGCUUAGUGGUUAGAGCAUCAAAGGCCCUAUCAGAAGGUCGCUGGUUCGACUCCAGCUAGUGUCA
Transfer RNA from Fomitopsis pinicola, 73 nucleotides. It matches the Rfam family "tRNA". From Rfam's summary of the family: Transfer RNA (tRNA) molecules are approximately 80 nucleotides in length. Their secondary structure includes four short double-helical elements and three loops (D, anti-codon, and T loops). Lineage: Eukaryota; Fungi; Basidiomycota; Agaricomycetes; Polyporales; Fomitopsidaceae. The record is from Rfam.